CGAACGUUAGCGGCGCGCUUAACACAUGCAAGUCGGACGAGAAAGGGCUUCGGCCCGGUACAGUGGCGCACGGGUGAGUAACACGUGGGUAAUCUACCCUCGAGCGGGGGAUAACGUUCCGAAAGGAGCGCUAAUACCGCAUAAGACCACGCUCUCGAAAGGGAGCGAGGUAAAAGUAGGCCUCUGAAUUCACGCUUACACUCGAGGAUGAGCCCGCGGCCCAUCAUGGUAGUUGGUAGGGUAAUGGCCUACCAAGCCGAAGACGGGUAGCUGGUCUUAGAGGAUGAUCAGCCACACUGGAACUGAGACACGGUCCAGACUCCUACGGGAGGCAGCAGUGGGGAAUCUUGCGCAAUGGGCGAAAGCCUGACGCAGCGACGCCGCGUGGGUGAUGAAGGCCUUCGGGUCGUAAAGCUCUGUGGGGAGAGACGAAUAAGACGUGGCUAAUAUCCACGGCGAUGACGGUACCUCCUUAGCAAGCACCGGCUAACUCUGUG
Molecule: ribosomal RNA, 497 nt
Filed under: uncultured bacterium
Lineage: Bacteria
Description: bacterial SSU rRNA
Rfam family: Bacterial small subunit ribosomal RNA
Source: RNAcentral